CAGUAGCCGCGGUAAAACAGAGGGUGCGAGCGUUAAUCGGAUUUACUGGGCGUAAAGCGUGCGUAGGAGGCUUUUUAAGUCGGAUGUGAAAUCCCUGAGCUUAACUUAGGAAUUGCAUUCGAUACUGGGAAGCUAGAGUAUGGGAGAGGAUGGUAGAAUUCCAGGUGUAGCGGUGAAAUGCGUAGAGAUCUGGAGGAAUACCGAUGGCGAAGGCAGCCAUCUGGCCUAAUACUGACGCUGAGGUACGAAAGCAUGGGGAGCAAACAGGAUUAGAUACCCCAGUAGUCCCUGUCUCUUAUAC
This 301-nucleotide ribosomal RNA is filed under the name uncultured bacterium. Its description in RNAcentral is "partial 16S ribosomal RNA". It matches the Rfam family "Bacterial small subunit ribosomal RNA", at positions 509 to 807 of the family's 1533-position model. The record is from RNAcentral.